UGCGUCUGAAGAGCAGCUGUUGUCUUUAUCGUCAUCAUCAUCAUCAACUCCUGAGGAAUCGUAAUGAAAACCGCUCAGUUCCUUUUGCUGUGCAUCCUUGGAGCUGCUUUGUUGUCUGCAGUUAACUGAAACAAUGCAAAUGGUCCCGACAACUGCUGUUUCAAGUUGUACCCGGGAAGAAUUCAAGCAAACCUCAUCAAGUCGUAUCGACUGACUGAUCACCGAUGCCCAAAGUCUGCCAUCAUCUUCAUUACCAAAAAGUCUCGUUCAGUGUGUGUGGAUGCGUCUGCCUCCUGGACCCAACGCAUCAUGAAAAGACUGGACCAGAGCUCUUUCUGAACCAGCUGCCUGCUCAUCCUUACACAUUGCUCUGCUUUGUCAGAUAAUAUCAUAUAAAACGCAUGCAAACUUUUUAUAAUGACAGUUCUUUUACAUGUGGUCCAAAGUUUAUCUUUCAAGCGAUUAUAAGCCUGAAAUAAUCCACUGAACAGUCACGCUCUUUGAUUGUGUAAUGUCUCGUGGAUGCUUUGUGCUAUGUAUAUUAUGCUCCAAAAUAAACAC
Molecule: long non-coding RNA, 561 nt
Organism: Haplochromis burtoni (Burton's mouthbrooder)
Lineage: Eukaryota; Metazoa; Chordata; Actinopteri; Cichliformes; Cichlidae
Exons: 3
Source: RefSeq, a predicted model, not a curated record